Molecule: long non-coding RNA, 626 nt
Organism: Tigriopus californicus
Lineage: Eukaryota; Metazoa; Arthropoda; Copepoda; Harpacticoida; Harpacticidae
Exons: 2
Source: RefSeq, a predicted model, not a curated record
UUAUUUGAAGCCAUCGCAAGACCAUUUGUCACUCAACCUCUCAUUUUGUGCUCUUUCUCUGUCAGAUUAUAAGUGGAUUCCCAUCGAAAUGAGCGCACUGACGAAGCGGAUGGAAGACACAGUUUGCCCACAUGUGCCAAUACUCUUCAGCCACCAUCGUUACCCCUAAGCACCAUUGAUGAGGAUGGUGCUCAAGCUAGGGAUCGGCCUCAAUCAGCCCAACGACGCAUGCCUCGUCCCGGCCAAUUUUGUCGACUUUUUGUCAGGAAAAAACAAUUCAGGAUUUUGUCAUGAUGAGCCAACGUCGAUGUACAGCACCGCCCAAGGGUCUGGUCCGAAGCAUGGGACACCUUUUGACCCGAAGGAUUUUUCGCGAUAUUCACCUUAGACAAGUAUUUCGUGGACGAAAACCGGCGAGUGAGGGCAAGAUCUUCCCACGAGACCUUUCACUCAAGCGGAUUAUUUCCCAACAAUGAAUACAUACAAUCAGUAAUCGAUCUAUGUGACAAUGGUUUGGUGUCGACCACCUUGACUGGGUAUAAAGAACAUGAUAACAUAACCAAAAGUCGCAAUUGAAUACGGCACAACAAAUCUUAAUAAAAAUACACACCUAUUUUACUCGAUCA